GUGGGGAAUCUUGCGCAAUGGGCGAAAGCCUGACGCAGCCAUGCCGCGUGAAUGAUGAAGGUCUUAGGAUUGUAAAAUUCUUUCACCGGGGACGAUAAUGACGGUACCCGGAGAAGAAGCUCCGGCUAACUUCGUGCCAGCAGCCGCGGUAAUACGAAGGGGGCUAGCGUUGCUCGGAAUUACUGGGCGUAAAGGGCGCGUAGGCGGACAGCUUAGUCAGAGGUGAAAGCCAAGGGCUAAACCUUGGAAUUGCCUUUGAUACUGGCUGUCUUGAGUUUGGGAGAGGUGAGUGGAACUCCGAGUGUAGAGGUGAAAUUCGUAGAUAUUCGGGAGAACACCAGUGGCGAAGGCGACUCACUGGCCCAAUACUGACGCUGAGGCGCGAAAGCGUGGGGAGCAAACAGGAUUAGAAACCCGGGUAGUCC
This 425-nucleotide ribosomal RNA is filed under the name uncultured bacterium. RNAcentral's name for it is "partial 16S ribosomal RNA". It matches the Rfam family "Bacterial small subunit ribosomal RNA", at positions 354 to 796 of the family's 1533-position model. The record is from RNAcentral.